UUAGGAUUUCUUCACAGAACAUUUUAUCUUGUAAGGGUAGAGGUCCAUCUGUAUUGCCCCUGCCAGCGGGGACUCAGUUAUUCGUGGGGGUUGAGGGGGGACCCAUACCUGCGGGAGAACGGGUGAGAAAGAGGAGCAAGACCAAGCAGUGUCCUUGUCAAGGUCUUAUUGGAGUUUAUUGGAGUUUAUCUGUUUAUUAAAUGCUGUGAAGUGUACAGCAUUUAAAGCUCUGAAGCAGGAACUGAAGCUUAGGGCGGGGGGAGUACUGGGAAGUACCCAAGGACAUAAGGUGAAUCGUUAAACAGCAAGAUGUUCUUCCUAGGCAAUGAGGCAACAGUCUUCCGGGAACAUGUUCUUUCUUUGAAAAGGUCAAGCCCUUCUCAGGAAUCUGCUCUUGACCUGCCCAGUCCGGCAGUCUGGUCCCGGACACUGUAUAAGAUCUUGUGUUUGGGACCUGGAUAUGAAAGCCUCAGAGAAGUGGCAGACUACAGCCUAAUGCUUUAAACAACCCUAUUUCAGUUUCAAGACAGCGCCAAGCGAUGGGCAUCUCUCG
Rattus norvegicus (Norway rat) is the source of this 553-nucleotide long non-coding RNA. Lineage: Eukaryota; Metazoa; Chordata; Mammalia; Rodentia; Muridae. The record is from Ensembl.